GAUGGAAGACUACCAGAGUGCGGAAGAGACCACUUUUGCUGUUGACGAAGUGAGCAACAUUGUGAAAGAGGCUAUAGAAAGUGCCAUCGGUGGCAACGCCUAUCAGCACAGCCAAGUCAAUCAGUGGACCACAAAUGUCGUAGAACAAACUUUAAGCCAACUCACCAAGCUGGGAAAACCAUUCAAAUACAGUGUGACCUGUAUAAUUAUGCAGAAGAACGGAGCAGGACUACACACGGCGAGUUCUUGCUUCUGGGACAGCUCUACUGACGGGAGCUGCACCGUGCGAUGGGAGAACAAGACCAUGUACUGCAUCGUCAGCGCCUUCGGACUGUCCAUCUGACUGACCUCCUCAUCCCCCCAGGCUCUUUCUCCUCUGUCUCAACAUUUCU
Molecule: RNA transcript, 392 nt
Organism: Myotis lucifugus (little brown bat)
Lineage: Eukaryota; Metazoa; Chordata; Mammalia; Chiroptera; Vespertilionidae
Gene name: dynein light chain Tctex-type 1 pseudogene
Exons: 1
Source: RefSeq, a predicted model, not a curated record